UUUCUCUCUCUCUCUCUCUCCUUUCCCUCUGUCUCCUUCUCUCUCUUCCUCUCUCUGGAAAUGUGGGAAAGAUGCCAUGUAGGCACACCCAGGUUCCAAGAUGCUGGUCCCAAGAUGUACAUGGUUCAGCAGCCUCACUGCCCCACUGCCAGCCAACAGCCCAUCAGCCAUCACAAGUAAAACCACAUGCUGUUUACCACAGAACCAUCAUAAUCAGAAAAUCUAUUCCAUAGCAGAAGAACCAUCCAGAAAAAUAGAUGAAACCAACAGACACCAUGUUAAGCAAAAUAAGACACAGAAAGAAAUGUAUCAUAUGCUUUCUCUCGUGAAAAUUCACGAAAGAUUACAUGAAAUCAGGAAAGGAACGAUAAGGGACUCGCAAGAACCCUGAGAACAGGAAAGAGGAGAAACGAAUGAUUCACUCUGCAUCAAAACCAGUCCUACUGUGUGCUCCAGAAGGCUGACUUGUGAAAAGAUACAGCAGAUCCAAGAGGAGGGUUCAGCAAACAGGAUCACAAGUGAAGGAUUAGAGAGCCAGAGGGCAGGAGAAUGAGAGGUGAGGGCCUUUCUGUCCAAGGCCACUCCCUGAUUCGUUGCUGAUUGGCACUGCCUGUGCUCUCAAAGGCCAAGACUCCCACCUAAUGAUCUCUGCUUCUGUGACAACUACAGUUCUCUCCUGGCCCUAGGAACAUCCAUAUUCUCAAGGGUAUGGCAAUAACUCUUUGAUGCUAGCUCUGGGGUCUGUAUUAUCUUUGAUCAUGUUCCUGAACCCUACAUGCACCUUUGUAAACUCUCUAAAUUCUCUAAAAUUACCCUCUGUCUCUCUGCAAAGCCUUUUCUGAUACUUUUUCCACAUUAGUUCUUUUUAAUUUUAUAACUCCUGUUUAAUUUACAUGGUAUUUUUUGCAUAUGUCUUACAAGUGGUCUAAGACUGACUCAGUUGCUCCAUGGGAAACUCUUUGAAGGUGAAGACCUUCUCUCUAUGACUUCAUACCCACCAGCAGCUUGAGGAAAGUGAUUCAUAUCAAUUGACACUCAUGUCUGUUAUCUCUUUGGGCCUCCUGGUUGAGCUGCCAUAGUGCUAUACUUCUCCCUUAAAAAUUGUUUGGAAAAUUAUGUAGUAAUUUGCACCAAAAUUUAAGGGUGUUUGUAUGACGCUAGAACAAGUGGUUUGUUGAGUAUAACUUUUUAAAAAAAUCAGUGAAAAAAUAAGAACUGGUGAUUUGGUGCAGAGGGAUAGCUCAGCUCACAUAUUCAUCAGAGCAGGCCAAUAUCAUUAGGCUGUAGGCUGAAGAAAUUAUAUCCCAAUAUUUUAAAAAUAGCUGUCUAUGGAUCUAAUGAUUCUUAAUUGUUUUGCUCUAGAGUAGGACACUUUUUAUGAGCAUUAAAUAAACAAGAUGUAUGGUUUGCCUUUCCUGUGAAGUUGAUGACUCAAUUUAAAUGUGCAGAUGGAUCUAAAGACCAGGAAACAGCUUAACAACACAGCUGACUGCACUUGGGCAUAUUAGAAUUUACCAGUGGCUGGCGAGAGAAACACAGGUGUCCAGAAGAUGCUGUACCUUAUUAAAAUGCGCGUGCAUUUGGUCAGGUCAGAACCUUAAAAUGCAAAUUCUUCAUGUAAAUGUCUACAUGCAUUAGAAAUGGAAAUUUUGGCUCCAAAAUUGCAAAAUUGGCUCCAUUUGCAGUUUCAGAAAGCAUGGAAUUAGAUAGCUGAAGUUCAUACUGUUAAGUAUAGGAGUCAUAAUAAUGACAUUUUUAUUAAGCCCUUAUGUGUUAGGCAUCGUGCUGAGAAUUUUAUAUCAUUUUAUUUAAUCUUUAUAAAAUUGUAGACAAAGUAUUAUUAUUCCUCCAGUUUACAGAUAGAAAAACUGAGGCAUGAUGUAGAACUAACCUCAAUGUAUUCACCCAGGUAAAGCAUUUGGGUUUGUAAAUACAUGGAGAUUAUAAUAAAAUAGCAAACAGAGGCUUCCACAAGUCAAAUUACACUUCUCAGUAUCCCUAGAGCAAAACUCACAUAAUUAAUAAAAAAGAUUCUCUUACUUGCAUACUGAGCCACUUUCCCUUUCAACUUGACUAACGAUGACAACAAACUUUGUUUAUAAGAAAAAAUAUAAUAUAUGUAAUAAAAAUAUUUAUAACAGAAGAAAAAUGCAGCAAAGACAUGAAAAGAGACAGGUGGACACUGAUAAAUGAACAAAAAAUGUAAGUACAAAAAAUAUAAGUAGAUUUAGAAAUAACACAAAAAAAUUACUGUGCAACUACUGAGUAGUCAGCCCAAAGCAUU
This is a long non-coding RNA of Cavia porcellus (domestic guinea pig), 2284 nucleotides long. RefSeq lists it as uncharacterized. NCBI's taxonomy places the organism in Eukaryota, Metazoa, Chordata, Mammalia, Rodentia, Caviidae. The record is from RefSeq and is a predicted model, not a curated record. The transcript is spliced from 3 exons.